RNAcentral lists this ribosomal RNA (253 nucleotides) under uncultured bacterium. Its description in RNAcentral is "partial 16S ribosomal RNA". It matches the Rfam family "Bacterial small subunit ribosomal RNA", at positions 524 to 776 of the family's 1533-position model. The record is from RNAcentral.
UACGGGGGGGGCAAGCGUUGUUCGGAAUUACUGGGCGUAAAGGGCUCGUAGGCGGCCAACUAAGUCGGACGUGAAAUCCCCAGGCUCAACCUGGGAACUGCGUCCGAUACUGGAUGGCUUGAAUCCGGGAGAGGGAUGCAGAAUUCGAGGUGUAGCGGUGAAAUGCGUAGAUAUCUGGAGGAAUACCGGUGGCGAAGGCGGCAUCCUGGACCGGCAUUGACGCUGAGGAGCGAAAGCCAGGGGAGCAAACGGG